Molecule: transfer RNA, 72 nt
Filed under: Monoraphidium minutum
Lineage: Eukaryota; Viridiplantae; Chlorophyta; Chlorophyceae; Sphaeropleales; Selenastraceae
Description: tRNA-Arg
Rfam family: tRNA
About the family: Transfer RNA (tRNA) molecules are approximately 80 nucleotides in length. Their secondary structure includes four short double-helical elements and three loops (D, anti-codon, and T loops).
Source: RNAcentral
GCCCGCGUAGCGCAGUGGAAGCGCGCCACCCUCCGGAGGUGGCGGUCGCGAGUUCGAUCCUCGCCGCGGGUA